GCUUAAUUUUUAGGCGUUUAGCGAGAUGAGUUAGCGCACGGCUCAAUCCCUUUGAGCCAUUCCCCUAUGCUCGGGACAAUUCGGAUUGGUCCCGAGCUUUUUUUU
This 105-nucleotide small RNA is filed under the name Pseudidiomarina planktonica. The record is from RNAcentral. Lineage: Bacteria; Pseudomonadati; Pseudomonadota; Gammaproteobacteria; Alteromonadales; Idiomarinaceae.